UAGAACUUGUUGAUCUUGCAGGCGCUCCUGGGACCUGUUUGUUUUGCCGCACUGCCCGUGCUCUUACGGAGGAGAAGCUGAUCCCGUUUGGCAGGUCCCGGGGAACUCGAGCGCAUGGGGAGGCUAUUAGCGUCGCUGGCAUUUCCGAGAGCCAAGCAGACGGAGAAAGGGGACCAAGAGUUCCGUCGGGAGGCUGAAAGCUUAUCUCCCCACCUCUGCAAAAGUCUGGACACACGAGGAGAACAGCCAACACAACACAUCACACCCGCUGCAUGUGGAAGAGCUACAGGAGGGUGGCUGUUGAGUUCGCAGCGCCAGGGACCCUCGGUCUGGAAGCCCCUGCACUCUACCUGUUGAAUUUCCCUCUGGUGCUCUGCUACUGAAGGGCUAGAAACAAGAAAGCUGCACCUGGAGGGAAUCU
Long non-coding RNA from Pogona vitticeps (central bearded dragon), 421 nucleotides. RefSeq lists it as uncharacterized. NCBI's taxonomy places the organism in Eukaryota, Metazoa, Chordata, Lepidosauria, Squamata, Agamidae. The record is from RefSeq and is a predicted model, not a curated record.